RNAcentral lists this long non-coding RNA (506 nucleotides) under Rattus norvegicus (Norway rat). RNAcentral's name for it is "long non-coding RNA NONRATT004818". Lineage: Eukaryota; Metazoa; Chordata; Mammalia; Rodentia; Muridae. The record is from RNAcentral.
UUGAAAAUAAAAAUAAAGCGGACUUUAUUCAGAAGAUAAAGGUGGUGGUAUCAGUUUUGGUUAAUAAAGUUGGGCUCAAGUGUUUUAACAGAGAGGGAGGACUGGGGUAACUGAGAAAAAAUGAAAAGCAAAAUUAACCAAUGUAAUUGGUGCAGGCAGCUGCCACUUGUGGCAAACCCAAGUCUAUCUGAUGCCCAUUUUCUUCACAUUUGCACUGACAUCUUCCAAGCAGACGGUAACUACAUUCUUGAAGGAAUGUGCCAAGACUCAGGGUGGGGAAGGCCCAGACAGUGAGUGGACAGAAUGCACUUCGCAUUCAGUUGCCUUAAAUGGUACCAACUGAUUAAGGACAGACACCCAAACCAUAGGAAACAGUAGCUGAAGGUAACUAAAGGAGGAUUAAAAUGCAUAACCAGUGCAGAAUAGAACAGCAAGGCACCAAGACCACAAUCCAAUCUGCACAUUUCCCCCUUUCCCGCACUAAAUGCAUCUGGGAGAAAGCAUUA